This 403-nucleotide ribosomal RNA is filed under the name uncultured bacterium. Its description in RNAcentral is "bacterial SSU rRNA". It matches the Rfam family "Bacterial small subunit ribosomal RNA", at positions 29 to 429 of the family's 1533-position model. The record is from RNAcentral.
AGCGAACGUUUGCGGCGGGCCUAACACAUGCAAGUCGAACGGGCAGUCCCUUCGGGGGCUGUCAGUGGCGCACGGGUGCGUAACACGUAGGUAAUCAACCCUCGGGUUCGGGAUAACACUUCGAAAGGGGUGCUAAUACCGGAUGCGACGAGCGUCUCCUCGGAGAUGCACGGGAAAGAUCCGCAAGGGUCGCCCGAGGACGAGCCUGCGGCCCAUCAGCUUGUUGGUGAGGUAAUGGGCUCACCAAGGCUAAGACGGGUAGCUGGUCUGAGAGGAUGAUCAGUCACACUGGAACUGAGACACGGUCCAGACUCCUACGGGAGGCAGCAGUGGGGAAUAUUGCGCAAUGGGCGAAAGCCUGACGCAGCCACGCCGCGUGUGUGAAGAAGGCCUCGGUUGUAAG